GAUGGCGCUUACCACUUUGUGAUUCAUGACUGGGGUGAAGUCGUAACAAGGUAACCGUAGGGGAACCUGCGGUUGGAUCACCUCCUUA
This 88-nucleotide ribosomal RNA is filed under the name Escherichia coli. Its description in RNAcentral is "partial 16S ribosomal RNA". It matches the Rfam family "Bacterial small subunit ribosomal RNA", at positions 1446 to 1533 of the family's 1533-position model. Lineage: Bacteria; Pseudomonadati; Pseudomonadota; Gammaproteobacteria; Enterobacterales; Enterobacteriaceae. The record is from RNAcentral.